AUUGAACGCUGGCGGCAUGCCUUACACAUGCAAGUCGAACGGCAGCACGGGUGCUUGCCCCUGGUGGCGAGUGGCGAACGGGUGAGUAAUACAUCGGAACAUGUCCUGUAGUGGGGGAUAGCCCGGCGAAAGCCGGAUUAAUACCGCAUACGAUCCACGGAUGAAAGCGGGGGACCUUCGGGCCUCGCGCUAUCGGGUUGGCCGAUGGCUGAUUAGCUAGUUGGUGGGGUAAAGGCCUACCAAGGCGACGAUCAGUAGCUGGUCUGAGAGGACGACCAGCCACACUGGGACUGAGACACGGCCCAGACUCCUACGGGAGGCAGCAGUGGGGAAUUUUGGACAAUGGGCGAAAGCCUGAUCCAGCAAUGCCGCGUGUGUGAAGAAGGCCUUCGGGUUGUAAAGCACUUUUGUCCGGAAAGAAAUCCUUGACUCUAAUACAGUCGGGGGAUGACGGUACCGGAAGAAUAAGCACCGGCUAACUACGUG
Molecule: ribosomal RNA, 486 nt
Filed under: uncultured bacterium
Lineage: Bacteria
Description: partial 16S ribosomal RNA
Rfam family: Bacterial small subunit ribosomal RNA
Source: RNAcentral